ACUUAUUCAUAUCAAGGUUCAAGGAUUAAAUAACAGAGGUCCACGCAACAGGAAAACCCAUGAGAAAAACACCUGAAAUCCAGCAUCUGAUGUCAGAAGCAGUCACCUUGCUCUGUGUAAUGGUCAUCUUCUACAUAUGACAACCAUCAACCGCAGCUCAGUUAUCAACGAGAUACCUUUCAAAUCUUCAGCUACCCUGUUAAGGUCUUGCAGAUCCAUGGCUGUGGUUUCUUUGAUUAAAUCCACUCAUCCACAAUCUCCCAUCACUUCCAGCCAGCAUAGACCAUGAUCACUGAAAAUUUCUACAAGAUGCAGAGCCAACCUUAAGAAAUGGGGCUACAAAGUGGAAUCCACGACAUGCGAGUGUGGAGAAGAGCAAACCACAGGCCACCUACUACAAUGCAACCUGGGCCCUGCCACAUGCACAAUGGAGGACCUGCUUGCAGCAACACCAGAGGCACUCCAAGUGGCCAGCUACUGGUCAAAGGACAUUUAAUAGAAUACCAAGUCUGCAAACUUUGUGGUUUGUUUGUUU
Anolis sagrei ordinatus is the source of this 535-nucleotide non-coding RNA. The record is from RefSeq and is a predicted model, not a curated record. Lineage: Eukaryota; Metazoa; Chordata; Lepidosauria; Squamata; Anolidae.